CUUAUACCGGCGACCGGCGGACGGGUGCGUAACGCGUAUGUAACCUACCUUUGACAGGGGGAUAACAUCGAGAAAUUGGUACUAAUACCCCAUAACAUCACCGGAGGCAUCUUCGGUGGUUGAAAACUCAGGUGGUCAGAGAUGGACAUGCGUUGUAUUAGCUAGUUGGUGAGGUAACGGCUCACCAAGGCGACGAUACAUAGGGGGACUGAGAGGUCAACCCCCCACAUUGGUACUGAGACACGGACCAAACUCCUACGGAAGGCAGCAG
Molecule: ribosomal RNA, 271 nt
Filed under: uncultured bacterium
Lineage: Bacteria
Description: partial 16S ribosomal RNA
Rfam family: Bacterial small subunit ribosomal RNA
Source: RNAcentral